This 931-nucleotide ribosomal RNA is filed under the name uncultured Ascomycota. Its description in RNAcentral is "eukaryotic LSU rRNA". The stretch from base 283 to 931 matches the Rfam family "Eukaryotic large subunit ribosomal RNA", at positions 1 to 663 of the family's 3401-position model. The record is from RNAcentral. Lineage: Eukaryota; Fungi; Ascomycota.
AUCGAUGAAGAACGCAGCGAAAUGCGAUAAGUAGUGUGAAUUGCAGAAUUCAGUGAAUCAUCGAAUCUUUGAACGCACAUUGCGCCCCUCGGUAUUCCGUGGGGCAUGCCUGUUCGAGCGUCAUCUACACCCUCAAGCUCUGCUUGGUGUUGGGCGUCUGUCCCGCCUCUGCGCGCGGACUCGCCCCAAAUUCAUUGGCAGCGGUCUUUGCCUCCUCUCGCGCAGCACAAUUGCGUCUGCGAGGGGGCGUGGCCCGCAUCCACGAAGCAACAUUACCGUCUUUGACCUCGGAUCAGGUAGGGAUACCCGCUGAACUUAAGCAUAUCAAUAAGCGGAGGAAAAGAAACCAACAGGGAUUGCCCUAGUAACGGCGAGUGAAGCGGCAACAGCUCAAAUUUGAAAUCUGGCUCUCUUUGGGGGUCCGAGUUGUAAUUUGCAGAGGAUGCUUUGGCAUUGGCAGCGGUCUAAGUUCCUUGGAACAGGACAUCACAGAGGGUGAGAAUCCCGUACGUGGUCGCUUGCCUUUGCCGUGUAAAGCUCCUUCGACGAGUCGAGUUGUUUGGGAAUGCAGCUCUAAAUGGGAGGUAAAUUUCUUCUAAAGCUAAAUACUGGCCAGAGACCGAUAGCGCACAAGUAGAGUGAUCGAAAGAUGAAAAGUACUUUGGAAAGAGAGUCAAAAAGCACGUGAAAUUGUUGAAAGGGAAGCGCUUGCAGCCAGACUUGCCCGCAGUUGCUCACCUAGGCUUUCGCCUGGGGCACUCUUCUGCGGGCAGGCCAGCAUCAGUUUGGGCGGUUGGAUAAAGGCCUCUGUCACGUAUCUUCCUUCGGGAUGACCUUAUAGGGGAGGCGUAAUGCAACCAGCCCGGACUGAGGUCCGCGCAUCUGCUAGGAUGCUGGCGUAAUGGCUGUAAGCGGCCCGUCUUGAAACACG